RNAcentral lists this ribosomal RNA (453 nucleotides) under Cercospora ipomoeae. RNAcentral describes it as "eukaryotic LSU rRNA". The stretch from base 160 to 313 matches the Rfam family "5.8S ribosomal RNA". Lineage: Eukaryota; Fungi; Ascomycota; Dothideomycetes; Mycosphaerellales; Mycosphaerellaceae. The record is from RNAcentral.
GGAGGGAUCAUUACUGAGUGAGGGCCUUCGGGCUCGACCUCCAACCCUUUGUGAACACAACUUGUUGCUUCGGGGGCGACCCUGCCGUUUCGACGGCGAGCGCCCCCGGAGGCCUUCAAACACUGCAUCUUUGCGUCGGAGUUUAAGUAAAUUAAACAAAACUUUCAACAACGGAUCUCUUGGUUCUGGCAUCGAUGAAGAACGCAGCGAAAUGCGAUAAGUAAUGUGAAUUGCAGAAUUCAGUGAAUCAUCGAAUCUUUGAACGCACAUUGCGCCCCUUGGUAUUCCGAGGGGCAUGCCUGUUCGAGCGUCAUUUCACCACUCAAGCCUCGCUUGGUAUUGGGCGCCGCGGUGUUCCGCGCGCCUCAAAGUCUCCGGCUGAGCUGUCCGUCUCUAAGCGUUGUGAUUUCAUUAAUCGCUUCGGAGCGCGGGCGGUCGCGGCCGUUAAAUCUU